AGAGUUUGAUCCUGGCUCAGGAUGAACGCUAGCUACAGGCUUAACACAUGCAAGUCGAGGGGAAACGACAUCGAAAGCUUGCUUUUGAUGGGCGUCGACCGGCGCACGGGUGAGUAACGCGUAUCCAACCUGCCCACAACUUGGGGAUAACCUUGCGAAAGUAAGACUAAUACCCAAUGAUAUCUCUAGAAGACAUCUGAAGGAGAUUAAAGAUUUAUCGGUGAUGGAUGGGGAUGCGUCUGAUUAGCUUGUUGGCGGGGUAACGGCCCACCAAGGCGACGAUCAGUAGGGGUUCUGAGAGGAAGGUCCCCCACAUUGGAACUGAGACACGGUCCAAACUCCUACGGGAGGCAGCAGUGAGGAAUAUUGGUCAAUGGGCGAGAGCCUGAACCAGCCAAGUAGCGUGCAGGAUGACGGCCCUAUGGGUUGUAAACUGCUUUUAUAAGGGAAUAAAGUGAGUCUCGUGAGACUUUUUGCAUGUACCUUAUGAAUAAGGACCGGCUAAUUCCGUGCCAGCAGCCGCGGUAAUACGGAAGGUCCGGGCGUUAUCCGGAUUUAUUGGGUUUAAAGGGAGCGUAGGCCGGAGAUUAAGCGUGUUGUGAAAUGUAGACGCUCAACGUCUGCACUGCAGCGCGAACUGGUUUCCUUGAGUACGCACAAAGUGGGCGGAAUUCGUGGUGUAGCGGUGAAAUGCUUAGAUAUCACGAAGAACUCCGAUUGCGAAGGCAGCUCACUGGAGCGCAACUGACGCUGAAGCUCGAAAGUGCGGGUAUCGAACAGGAUUAGAUACCCUGGUAGUCCGCACGGUAAACGAUGGAUGCCCGCUGUUGGUCUGAAUAGGUCAGCGGCCAAGCGAAAGCAUUAAGCAUCCCACCUGGGGAGUACGCCGGCAACGGUG
This 898-nucleotide ribosomal RNA is filed under the name uncultured bacterium. Its description in RNAcentral is "bacterial SSU rRNA". It matches the Rfam family "Bacterial small subunit ribosomal RNA", at positions 8 to 896 of the family's 1533-position model. The record is from RNAcentral.